UGGGCUGUCGCCAAGCGGUAAGGCACCAGGUUUUGAUCCUGGCAUGCGCAGGUUCGAAUCCUGCCAGCCCAGCCA
RNAcentral lists this transfer RNA (75 nucleotides) under Thiotrichales bacterium. Its description in RNAcentral is "tRNA-Gln". It matches the Rfam family "tRNA". Rfam says of the family: Transfer RNA (tRNA) molecules are approximately 80 nucleotides in length. Their secondary structure includes four short double-helical elements and three loops (D, anti-codon, and T loops). Lineage: Bacteria; Pseudomonadati; Pseudomonadota; Gammaproteobacteria; Thiotrichales. The record is from RNAcentral.